Molecule: ribosomal RNA, 439 nt
Filed under: uncultured bacterium
Lineage: Bacteria
Description: bacterial SSU rRNA
Rfam family: Bacterial small subunit ribosomal RNA
Source: RNAcentral
GCAAAACGCGAAGAACCUUACCAGGUCUUGACAUCCCGCUGACCGCUCUAGAGAUAGAGUUUUCCCUUCGGGGACAGCGGUGACAGGUGGUGCAUGGUUGUCGUCAGCUCGUGUCGUGAGAUGUUGGGUUAAGUCCCGCAACGAGCGCAACCCUUGAUCUUAGUUGCCAGCAUUCAGUUGGGCACUCUAAGGUGACUGCCGGUGAUAAACCGGAGGAAGGUGGGGAUGACGUCAAAUCAUCAUGCCCCUUAUGACCUGGGCUACACACGUGCUACAAUGGACGGUACAGAGGGUCGCAACCCCGCGAGGGUGAGCAAAUCCCAUAAAACCGUUCUCAGUUCGGAUUGUAGGCUGCAACUCGCCUACGUGAAGUCGGAAUCGCUAGUAAUCGCGAAUCAGAAUGUCGCGGUGAAUACGUUCCCGGGUCUUGUACACACCG